Molecule: long non-coding RNA, 678 nt
Filed under: Pandoravirus salinus
Description: putative ncRNA
Source: RNAcentral
CAACAACGACAACGAAAACAUCCAAUCACUGGCACCGCGCGUGGUGGCCCUCCAUGACGGCAGCAGCCAGGCGGUUGCGCCCGUCGGCUUCGGCGGCGUCAAAGUGCGCGCGCGUGUAGGCGUAUGCCGUGGUGGCCGCCGGCGUAUCCCCGCCGUACCGGUUCGAUGCCCACCACUGGCGCGCGCGAUCGGCCGCCGAGCCUCCGGCGGACGCCGGCCGUGCCGUUUUCACGUCUCCGACGGCCGCCACCGUCGACGUGGCAAAGUCCCAGGCCUGCGUGAUGGGUCGUCGUGUCGGAUUCGAAGCCAUCGACCCAAGUGCGCGCGCCCCGCUCUUUCUUGACGCCAAAGGCGAAAGAAAAAAACGGUGACGCUGUACUCUUGGACGCCUCUCUCUCUCUGUGUGUGUGUGUGGGCUUUGCUCUUGUCGGCGCCCCAAGGCAGAGACACGCACGCGUCCAACCAAAGGGAGGCGGAAAAAAGGUGGGCGUAUGUGGGCGCGGCCGUAUCGGAUCCCUCGGACGUCGCCUGUCGCCGGCGGUUUGUCCAGGUGGGAGGCGGAAAAAAGGUGCCCAUUUGGAAGGCGCGUCGCGGGGCGACGGCGUGCGCUCGUGCACUGCCGCGCCCGCGCACGGCCGACAACCGCAGACAAAAUAAAGAACAGUUUCCACUUUUUUU